This 631-nucleotide ribosomal RNA is filed under the name Prochlorococcus sp. RNAcentral's name for it is "partial 23S ribosomal RNA". It matches the Rfam family "Bacterial large subunit ribosomal RNA", at positions 777 to 1408 of the family's 2925-position model. Lineage: Bacteria; Bacillati; Cyanobacteriota; Cyanophyceae; Synechococcales; Prochlorococcaceae. The record is from RNAcentral.
AACCGACCUAGGUUGAAAACUGGGCGGAUGACCUGUGGAUAGGGGUGAAAGGCCAAUCAAACUCGGUGAUAGCUGGUUCUCCGCGAAAUGCAUUUAGGUGCAGCGUCGCAUGUUCAGUCAUGGAGGUAGAGCACUGGAUGGGUUAGGGGGCCUACAAGCUUACCAACCCCAGCCAAACUCCGAAUGCCAUGGCUCCAGAGUGCGGCAGUGAGUCCUCGGGGGAUGAGCUUCGAUGGACGAAAGGGAAACAGCCCAGACCGCCGACUAAGGCCCCAAAGUUCUGACUAAGUGGUAAACGAAGUGGGAUUGCACAGACAGCCAGGAUGUUGGCUUAGAAGCAGCCAUCAUUGAAAGAGUGCGUAACAGCUCACUGGUCGAGUGAUCCCGCGCGGAAAAUGUAACGGGGCUCAAGUCAGACGCCGAAGUCGCGGAUUUCUGCAUAGCAGGAGUGGUAGCGGAGCGUCGAGCCUGGAGUGAAGCGGCGGUGGAAACCGUCGUGGACCGGGUUCGAGUGAGAAUGUAGGCAUAAGUAGCGAGAGAGGGGUGAGAAACCCCUCCGCCGGAAGUCCAAGGGUUCCUGGGGAAGGCUAAUCCUCCCAGGGUGAGUCGGGAGCUAAGGCGAGGCCGAGAG